Molecule: ribosomal RNA, 705 nt
Filed under: uncultured bacterium
Lineage: Bacteria
Description: bacterial SSU rRNA
Rfam family: Bacterial small subunit ribosomal RNA
Source: RNAcentral
AGAGUUUGAUCAUGGCUCAGAGCGAACGCUGGCGGCAGGCCUAACACAUGCAAGUCGAGCGGUCGUAGCAAUACGGCAGCGGCAGACGGGAGAGUAACACGUGGGAACGCGCCCUUCGGUUCGGGAUAACCCAGGGAAACUUGGGCUAAUACCGAAUGUGCCCUUCGGGGGAAAGAUUUAUCGCCAUUGGAGCGGCCCGCGUUGGAUUAGCUAGUUGGUGGGGUAAAGGCCCACCAAGGCUACGAUCCAUAGCUGGUCUGAGAGGAUGAUCAGCCACACUGGGACUGAGACACGGCCCAGACUCCUACGGGAGGCAGCAGUAGGGAAUCUUGCGCAAUGGGCGAAAGCCUGACGCAGCCAUGCCGCGUGAAUGAUGAAGGUCUUAGGAUUGUAAAAUUCUUUCACCGGGGAAGAUAAUGACGGUACCCGGAGAAGAAGCCCCGGCUAACUUCGUGCCAGCAGCCGCGGUAAUACGAAGGGGGCUAGCGUUGCUCGGAAUUACUGGGCGUAAAGGGCGCGUAGGCGGAUAUCUAAGUCGGGGGUGAAAGCCCAGGGCUCAACCCUGGAACAGCCUUCGAUACUGGAUAUCUUGAGUUCGGGAGAGGUGAGUGGAAUGCCGAGUGUAGAGGUGAAAUUCGUAGAUAUUCGGCGGAACACCAGUGGCGAAGGCGACUCACUGGCCCGAUACUGACGCUGAGGCGCGAA